AACGAACGCUGGCGGCAUGCCUAACACAUGCAAGUCGAACGAGACCUUCGGGUCUAGUGGCGCACGGGUGCGUAACGCGUGGGAACCUGCCCUUAGGUUCGGAAUAACUCCCCGAAAGGGGUGCUAAUACCGGAUAAUGUCUUCGGACCAAAGAUUUAUCGCCUUUGGAUGGGCCCGCGUUGGAUUAGCUAGUUGGUAGGGUAAAAGCAUACCAAGGCGACGAUCCAUAGCUGGUCUGAGAGGAUGAUCAGCCACACUGGGACUGAGACACGGCCCAGACUCCUACGGGAGGCAGCAGUGGGGAAUAUUGGACAAUGGGCGAAAGCCUGAUCCAGCAAGGCCGCGUGAGUGAUGAAGGCCUUAGGGUUGUAAAGCUCUUUUACCCGGGAUGAUAAUGACAGUACCGGGAGAAUAAGCUCCGGCUAACUCCGUG
Molecule: ribosomal RNA, 433 nt
Filed under: uncultured bacterium
Lineage: Bacteria
Description: partial 16S ribosomal RNA
Rfam family: Bacterial small subunit ribosomal RNA
Source: RNAcentral